This 253-nucleotide ribosomal RNA is filed under the name uncultured cyanobacterium. RNAcentral's name for it is "partial 16S ribosomal RNA". It matches the Rfam family "Bacterial small subunit ribosomal RNA", at positions 524 to 776 of the family's 1533-position model. Lineage: Bacteria; Bacillati; Cyanobacteriota. The record is from RNAcentral.
UACGGGGGGUGCAAGCGUUGUCCGGAAUCAUUGGGCGUAAAGAGUUCGUAGGCGGCACGUAAAGUCUGGUGUUAAAGGCAGAGGCUCAACUUCUGUACGGCACUGGAUACUUGCGAGCUAGAAUGCGGUAGAGGUAAAGGGAAUUCCUGGUGUAGCGGUGAAAUGCGUAGAUAUCAGGAGGAACACCGGCGGCGAAGGCGGCCUGCUGGACCGCGACUGACGUUGAGGCUCGAAAGCGUGGGGAGCGAACAGG